RNAcentral lists this long non-coding RNA (2080 nucleotides) under Taeniopygia guttata (zebra finch). RNAcentral's name for it is "lncRNA (ENSTGUG00000022832.1)". The record is from RNAcentral. Lineage: Eukaryota; Metazoa; Chordata; Aves; Passeriformes; Estrildidae.
AUGGUCACAGAGAUCUAUGGCAUUUGUUUCAACACCAGUAUUGGGAUGCCAUUCAUGCCUCUCCAAUGUCAACCUAUUUCUCCCUCUACAGAUACUUUAAAUGAUUCUGCUCAGCAAGAGCCAUCAAGACUGGAGACAAGGGUUAUGAUAUGCCGAGGAGCUCCCACUCAACAAAACAUGACCAGGAAUUCUUGGCAAGAGGAUAACAGUGACAAUGUAAGUUAAUCCUUGUACCAGUACAACUUGGAGCAGCAUUUAUCUAUAUCUACCUGUAUUUCAUCAUUCCCUGCAUUGUCUCAAAGGGAUUCCCUGCUAAACCCACACAGUUAAAGUAAUUUGGCCUCCGAUUUUAUUUAUAUUUCUCUUCAGCAUCCAUUGUACUUUUACAUUUCUUUUUCUGAAUAAAUGUAUACGUUUUAGCACACAUUCCUGUCUCAUACAAGGAACACACUUUAUCAAGUUAAACUCAAGACAGCUACCAAAUAUUAAAGGCAGAGGCAACAGCCAGAACAGCUCUCUAUGAAGUUUGGGGUUUUGUUACCCUAGUUUUGGGGCUGUUAAGUCCUAUCAUAAACUCCAACACUUAGUAUCUCUCUUGCAUCAAGUAAAAUACACAGGCAACCACAAAGAUUUCCGUAAUUUUUCUCUGCCUUUCCUCUUCUUGCUAACUUAAGAAUCCCAGUUCCUGAGUGAUCCCAGUCCCACGAGUGGCUUGCACAACCAUGACGCAGCACUCAAUGUCAACAGCAGGAUCACCCUAAAAAAGCUGCUUUCUAGCUUUUGAGCUUUCCUAUCCCAUUCACAGCUGAACAAAAGCUUAACAUUUCUUUUCAUCACUGAGGCUGUAGAGCCUGAGUGCAGGGAGGGAUUUGGUCAGCUCAUGAACUGCACAAGAUCUUAACCUAAUGAUUCAUAGCUUGGUCAUUCUCUCUGUAAAUAACUUAACUCUGUCUCAUUCUCCUCAGCCACCUUUACAUGAAACCUUUCCAUCCUGUUGGCAGCAGUUCAUCUUUUUUUCAACUCUUCUGCCCUCACAACACAAGAAGUCCUUUCUGAGGACUCUCUCAUAGUCCCAGGCACCAAUCCCAGCUAUUAGGAAAACUACAUGUGAUCAGGGAAUUGAGGCAACCCAAAGGCUGUUACUUGCCCCAGGUCAGAUGAUGCACUGGAAGCUGAGCCAGGAGGGUAAACCCAAGGCUUGUUAGGGUAAGACGAUGUCUGAUCUAACCCAUCCAGUUCUCAGACAUUUUUCAGUUGCUGCUGAGACUGUAGAAGAGUAUCCAGGAGCUACAGUUUUUGCCACACAGGUGUAGACACUGCUGAUGUUCCCAAGGUCACACCUCCUGCUAGUUCUGAACAAAGUCACUGGAUUUUGUCAUCACAUGCCAUUUACCUCGAAGGUGAGGUUUGCGGUGCAGCAGCCCCAUCUCUGCUGGCUCACACAGAGAGACCAGGUUGAUGCUGUGGCUUCUGCUUUCCAGGUGCUUCCUAGAGAUUUGGCCUAACAGCCAAGGAACUGCAUCUUACUGAGCCUUGCUUAGAAACACACACAAUUUCAUAGUUGAAUUGGCACGUGGAGAGGAAACUGUCUUAGCAACUACCUCAGGCAUUCAGAGCACCCUCCCAGAGGAGACAAACACAGCAUGAAACCUCUGAGCCUUUCACACAAAGUGUAAGCCCAUUUCCCUGAUCUACGUUUUUUGUUUAAAGAGCCUGCAAGGGAAAAGACAGACAGCUAUGUAAGUAGCUCUCUUUUACCAAGUCUAUCACCAGCCUAUCUGGGGCGGUUGCAAUGUACUGAUCAAACAUUCAAAUUAGAGAGGGUUCCAAAAUGAUCACCUAGUGCAAAGGGGAGCUAAAAGGAAAUUGCAAAAAUGCUGCCAUUCUGGAGACAUUUUACAGAUAGUACAGCUGAGGCACGAAGUCCCCCUCAGUCACAUUAAGCUUUGCUCCUGGCACUCUUCAUCUCGAGCUACUGGGGCUGCUCUGCAUUCAGUGAGUCAGUAAUCCCAGUGGGGGUUAAAUCCACCACGCAGACCAGUAUUUCCACAGCCAGGCCAGGGAACAGUGUUUAGUAACU